GCUGUGGAUGGGUUCCAUUUGAAUCGGACAAUGAGGAGCGUAUUCCAAGCUUAUGGUCAGUAGAAACACAGAGACAUGCGAAAAAUAUGACCUGAGCCAAGCAUACUAGCAAAUCGUAACAUAAUCACUCCAGUCAAGACCAAUCAGUGACCUAUGACCCUUUGAAAGGCCAGGCGAAACCGAGCUGCAUUAUUAAGUACUCAAGCCACAUAAAUGUUUAUCCCUUUCAUUGUUCAAUAUCAGCCGGAGCGGAAGUAAAAGUGUUGGACUGUAAUUCUUUCGUCCUGUUUUUCCAUCAAUCAAUUAGUCGAAAUGAAUUGAGUUAUCGGCUAAUAGGGCAGCCAACCCAACGUACACGUUGCCAUCAUUAAUAACGCUCAAAGUGACGCCAAGUAGUUCCGAAUCCGAUUCCCCCCGAUUUUCACCCACCCGGGAAUCUGACUGGGGAGUCCCAUUCCGGCGUGGCCGAUCGCCGUGGAUUGAACAGAUCAAUUACCCGCUGACUGCUUGGCUGCUUGCCCGAUGCUCCAAUGCUUUUAUGCGGCAAUGCCAAUGUGUUUCCUUGCUUCGAUGAUAAAGUGCACGGAGAAAAAUCAGUGGCACAUUUCGAAGUAUUCGGCAUUUAGAUGCCAACAAGAUAUAAUAUAUUUAAACAGUUUUAAGAUUAUCAAACAUUAUUCGUAAUUAUCUGUACAUAUAUGUACAAAACUGUUAAGUCAGUAAACGAAAACAGUUUAAGUGUUGAACCUGAGUUUUCUUUCAGUGUGUGCCGCAUAAUCAGGAACACAUAAUUUUAUGUGUUUUCACCUCCUGUUCGUACUUAUUUUUUUUUCUUCUUUUGGAUAAAUCACGGAGGGUCCAACGGCUGAGGCAGAAACAUCGGCAGCACGCCAGCAAUAAUCUAUCACCUGUCAGCACCUGUCAUUCAAGCGUCGCAGCUGCGAUUGGCAGGCCCAACAUGCACCUACUGGAAGUCGGAAGGGGAAUCGCCAAGAGAUUGGUACAUAAGCUGGCGGACUGGAAACUGGGAACCGAGGAUGGAGGACGGAGAAUGUUGAUGGAAGAGCCAGAGAAACGAGCCGAGUUUGCCUCAAGUGUCAGUUUGACAUCAUUAAUCAUGCGAUUAGUUAAGUGGGUGUUCGCUCAUACGAUUUUGGCCGUGGACCGGCGUUUUUGGUGCGAUCUGCCGCCUGAAAUCAGUUCCGAGCUGUUUAAUUUGACGUUUGGACGCAUGAUUGCAUUCUCAAUUUGACAUCGACGGCGACAGCAACGACAACGAAGAUCGACGGAAGUUGAAGGCUUCCUCUGCCGUCGAUGUCAAAAUAAUCACACGUACAAUUAGCAUGACGACAUGCCCAUCAAUUUGUUUGCCCUGGACGAUUGCCAGGUAAACGAAUUGAUUGGUUUGCUAGGUAAAUUGGGCGUAAACGAUGGGAAAUCAGGAAGUUAAGAGAUUCUCAAUGAAAGGAAAAACUUAAAUAAAUGGGUAUUGCAACCUGUUUUCAAAAUCUAUAUUUUAUAAUAACAGAUUUGGAUUAAGUAUUGACAAUUAAAUUUUUUUUUUCUGCAAGACAGGUAUCGUAACUUAUACUAUUUUGUUCUUCUAGUGAUACCAAAUAAACUCAAUUUUAAAGAGCUGGCUGAAAUUCCUUCCCUUUGGAACACUUAACCCCAACUGACCCCCAUCAAUCCGUACCUCAACUCAACUGCCGGCGAAAGCGACUGCAAACUGACAGCAUUCGGUGGCCGUGUGCCCAUCAAUUUUGCGCAUCAUCAUCGGCAUCAGCAGGCGCGUCUAACGUGUGGACCACCAGCCAAGCCCAUGCAACACCUACAACGACACCUCAUAGACCAUCGAAGCAUCGCAGCAUCGAAGCAACGCAACAGAUAGCACGAAAGCAAAAAAUGCAUUGAAGCACGGCGGCACACUGAAACAAACUAUUUAUAAGUACUGUAUAGUGAGAAUAGAAAAGGAUUCUGCUACAUUUAAUUUUCUGAAUAUUAUUU
Non-coding RNA from Drosophila melanogaster (fruit fly), 2007 nucleotides. The record is from Ensembl. NCBI's taxonomy places the organism in Eukaryota, Metazoa, Arthropoda, Insecta, Diptera, Drosophilidae.